UCAACUCAAUAAUUGUACAUAUUAUCGACCUCAAUUAUUCCAAACACAUGAUGUCAUACAUCGCUUGUGGGGUCGAUGAUCGGAAGUGUUUGAUGAACAACAAACCUAACAAACCAAGCUCGCGUAGAAAAAGAAUAGUGCAUAUCAUGAGGAUCAUCAUCAACCACCAUCACCUCCUCCGCCGUGACCAUUACCAUCACCGCUGCUCAUUUGGGCCACGGUGAUCGCCGCAACAGGCAUGCCGGCGUCGGCACCGCUAGAAUUGGCAGCCCCACCAUGGGCGGAGUCAGCAUGGCCUUCCUCAUCAUCGCCGCCCACAUGAGCAUUCCCUCUUUUCUUGGCCUUCUUGUGAGACUUCCGCCCAGAAGACUUCCCGC
Molecule: long non-coding RNA, 377 nt
Filed under: Vitis vinifera (wine grape)
Lineage: Eukaryota; Viridiplantae; Streptophyta; Magnoliopsida; Vitales; Vitaceae
Description: long non-coding RNA (VVIN_LNC003722)
Source: RNAcentral